AGGAACUUGGGAUCUGGGGAACGGCAUGAGGAGAAACCUCAGAUGGGCUCCCUGUGCCAGAGUAGCUUGUCAUCUCCGUGCUAAUCUUCCCAGCUCCUGCCUCGGCCUCUGGACCAGCAGCACUGCUUUCUUAUGUUUCCAACAGCAAUCAAACUUGACGUUUCUCCCCUACAUUGUGCUGCAUUUCAGCCUGUAUUUCCAAACGUUUGAUCCAAAAUUCAUUUGAGUCAAUGGAAGGAAUCUCAUUGCCUUGAAUGCACUUCGGAUCUGGCAGCUUAUUGCACCUGAGCAUGAACACCUGAUAUAUAUUUCCUAAAUCAGUAUUAGUGAAGAUACAGACUAGUACCAUUUUCACCACAGUGAAGAACCCUCACAGAGAAAAAUAUCACUAAAUCACUGUUUUAAAGAGAAGGCCACAACAUUUCUGCCAUUGCUCUAAACACACUGGAAUGCCUAACAGUAACAGUCAAGUCAUAACAAUAAAUGCCUGCACCCAUCUACAAGCAGAAUCCUUCAGAGAGUGGAUCAGUGCAGAAGGAGCAGUGAACACCAGCUCGCUCCCUCUCCAAUAUGAAGAACAAACUGAAGAAGUCUACAAAGUUGGACACAUAGCCCUUUGGCCUGCAGGAUACCAGAGAACCCUCUGCAGUAUCAAGCAACAGAUCAUCUUACCUGCUGCCAGCAAAAAGACCUUCCUUACUGCUGUGGAAAGGGGACUUGCCUGUCUCUGAGGUAGAUCUCACAUCCUACUAUUCCUAUGGAAGAAAU
Molecule: long non-coding RNA, 768 nt
Organism: Cygnus atratus (black swan)
Lineage: Eukaryota; Metazoa; Chordata; Aves; Anseriformes; Anatidae
Exons: 3
Source: RefSeq, a predicted model, not a curated record